UCGAGCGGUACAGAGAAGCUUGCUUCUCUUGAGAGCGGCGGACGGGGGAGUCAUGCCUAUGACUCUGCCUAGUGGUGGGGGAUAACGUUCGGAAACGGACGCUAAUACCGCAUACGUCCUACGGGAGAAAGCGGGGGACCUUCGGGCCUCGCGCCAUUAUGUGAGCCUAAGGCGGAUUAACUACUUGGUGAGGUAAUGGGUCACCAAGGAUACUAUCCGUAACUGGUCUGAAAAGAUGAUCAAUCCCCCUGGAACUGACACACGGGCCAAACUCCUACGGGAGGCAGCAGUGCGGAAUAUUGCACGAUGGGCGAAAGCCUGAUCCCUCCAUGCCGCGUGUGUGAUUAACGUCUUCUGAUUGUGAAGCACUUUGGGUUGGAAGGAACGGUAAUAACUUAGUACGUUGCUACUUUGACGUUACCGACAGAAUAAGCACCGGCUAACUUCGUAGCCAACAGCCGCGGUAAUACGAAUGGUGCAAGCGUUAAUCAGAAUUACUGGUGCGUAAAGGGCGCUGACGUGGUUCAUUAAGUUGAAUGUGAAAUCCCCGGGCUCAGCCUGGGAAAUGCCAUCCAAAACUGCUGAGAUAGAGUACGGUAGAGGGUAGUGGAAUUUCCUGUGUAGCGGUGAAAUGCUUAGAUAUAGGAAGGAACACCAGUGGAGAAGGCGACUACCUGGACUGGUACUGACGCUGAGGUGCGAAAGCAUGGGGAGCAAACAGGAUUAGAUACCCUGGUAGUCCACACCGUAAACGAUGUCAACUAGCCGUUGGGAGUCUUGAACUCUUAGUGGCGCAGCUAAAGCAUUAAGUUGACCGCCUGGGGAGUACGGCCGCAAGGUUAAAUCUCAAAUGAAUUGACGGGGGUCCGCACCAUCGGUGGAGCAUGUGGUUUAAUUCGAAGCAACGUCGAAGACCCUUACCUGGCCCUUGACAUGCUGAGAACUUUCUAGAGAUUGAUUGGUGCCUUCGGGAGCUCAGACCCAGGUGCUGCAUGGCGGUCGUCAGCUUCGUGUCGUGAGAUGUUGGGUUAAGUCCGGUAACGAGCGCAACCCUUGUCCUUAGUUGCCAGCACCUAAUGGUGGGAACUCUAAGGAGACUGCCGGCGACAAACCGGAGGAAGGUGGGGAAGACGUCAAGUCAUCAUGGCCCUUACGGCCAGGGCUACACCCGUGCUACAAUGGUCGCUACAAAGGGUCACCAAGCCGCGAGGUGGAGCUAUUCCCAUAAAACCGAUCGUAGUCCGGAUGGCAGUCUGCAACUCGACCGCGUGAAGUCGGAAUCGCUAGUAAUCGUGAAUCAGAAUGUCACGGUGAAUACGUUCCCGGGCCUUCACACACCGCCCGUCACCCCAUGGGAGUGGGUUGCACCAG
RNAcentral lists this ribosomal RNA (1371 nucleotides) under bacterium. RNAcentral describes it as "bacterial SSU rRNA". It matches the Rfam family "Bacterial small subunit ribosomal RNA", at positions 62 to 1423 of the family's 1533-position model. The record is from RNAcentral.